This 996-nucleotide ribosomal RNA is filed under the name Triticum aestivum (bread wheat). RNAcentral describes it as "partial small subunit ribosomal RNA". Lineage: Eukaryota; Viridiplantae; Streptophyta; Magnoliopsida; Poales; Poaceae. The record is from RNAcentral.
AUGGGAGCCGUCCCUUUGGUUAAUCUAGCUACUAUAAACCAUGUCACUGAAAAUUUCUCCGAAAGUAACAUUAUUGGUCAAUGUGGAUUUGGCGUUGUUUAUAAGGGCCAGCUCACUGACGGAAGAAUGAUUGCUGUUAAGCGGCUUAAACAGUCGGCUCUCACCAGAAAAGGAAAGAAAGAUUUCGCUAGAGAAGUUGAAGUGAUGGCCGGGCUCCGGCACAACAAUCUCGUUCGUCUCCUCGCAUACUGCAAUGAAGGAAAAGAGCGGAUACUAGUUUACGAAUACAUGCAGAACAAGAGCUUGAACGUCUACAUAUUUGGCACACCUAGCCUUCGUACUUCAUUGAACUGGGCAAAGAGACUUGAAAUAAUCCAUGGUAUCGCGCAUGGUAUCUCGUACCUUCACGGUGGAUCAGGCGAGAGUGUAAUCCACAGGGAUCUCAAACCAGGCAAUGUUCUUCUAGACGAUGAAUGGAAGGCUAAGAUAGCAGACUUCGGCACUGCCAAGCUAUUCGCCAUUGAUCAAACAGGGCCUGAUCAGACAGUCGUUGUUUCACCGGGAUAUGCAGCGCCAGAGUAUGAGAGAUCGCUCACUUCGCACGCCCUCAUCGACGGGCCUGGCUUUGGAGUUAUCCUCUUGGAGACACUAAGUGGGCAAAGGAAUGUCAGCAUGCAGAGGCUACUUUUGAACGCUUGGGGUCUCUGGGAACAAAACAAGACUAUAGAACUUCUCGACACAACAAUAUCAUUGCCACUUUCUGAGUCUGAGCCUGAGCUCUUGUCUGAGCUCAAACGAUGCAUACAGAUUGGACUUCUUUCUGUCCAGGAUAUUCCCAGCGACAGGCCAACCAUGUCUACAAUUGUCGCCAUGCUAACAAGCACUGCUUCGCUGAUUAAUCGGCCGGGAAGGCCGACCAUGGAUAACACGGCUAUGCAUUCGUCCCAUGAGCUUGAAUCCAACCUCUCGAGCCCGAGUACAGAUGAUCUGACAUAA